GGGCCUGUAGUUCAAUUGGUUAGAACCGCCGGCUCAUAACCGGUAAGUUCCAGGUUCGAGUCCUGGCGGGCCCA
This 74-nucleotide transfer RNA is filed under the name Acidobacteriota bacterium. RNAcentral's name for it is "tRNA-Ile". It matches the Rfam family "tRNA". Rfam says of the family: Transfer RNA (tRNA) molecules are approximately 80 nucleotides in length. Their secondary structure includes four short double-helical elements and three loops (D, anti-codon, and T loops). Further hydrogen bonds mediate the characteristic L-shaped molecular structure. tRNAs have two regions of fundamental functional importance: the anti-codon, which is responsible for specific mRNA codon recognition, and the 3' end, to which the tRNAs corresponding amino acid is attached (by aminoacyl-tRNA synthetases). tRNAs cope with the degeneracy of the genetic code in two manners: having more than one tRNA (with a specific anti-codon) for a particular amino acid; and 'wobble' base-pairing, i.e. permitting non-standard base-pairing at the 3rd anti-codon position. Lineage: Bacteria; Pseudomonadati; Acidobacteriota. The record is from RNAcentral.